UCCUCAUGGCCCUUAUGGUAGGGCUUCACACGUCAUACAAUGGUCGGUACAGAGGGUUGCCAACCCGCGAGGGGGAGCUAAUACCCACAAAGCCGAUCGUAGUCCGGAUCGCAGUCUGCAACUCGACUGCGUGAAGUCGGAAUCGCUAGUAAUCGUGGAUCAGAAUGUCACGGUGAAUACGUUCCCGGGUCGUU
This 194-nucleotide ribosomal RNA is filed under the name uncultured Rhodocyclaceae bacterium. RNAcentral's name for it is "partial 16S ribosomal RNA". It matches the Rfam family "Bacterial small subunit ribosomal RNA", at positions 1190 to 1382 of the family's 1533-position model. The record is from RNAcentral. Lineage: Bacteria; Pseudomonadati; Pseudomonadota; Betaproteobacteria; Rhodocyclales; Rhodocyclaceae.